UAUGGAAACCUGUUUCUAAUUUUUUUGAGGAACAUAAGAAGCAUACUAUCGACGAGAGCGUUUUUUUCAUCGCAUAAACUGAUGCAAAAUAAAAACCUCACGCAACCGUUAAGGAGCAAAAAUCAGAACCUCGCCGCGACUCUCACGUUUGUUGUCAACAACUCCGGUCAUUCUUCUGAUCUACCUGAUUUUUCCAUCGACAUCUUCGAUCUUGGUGGAAUAGUUUCAACGACCUCAUGCUCUGCCGUCUCUAAUUACGACAUUUUAAUGGCUUCACAUUUUCUGCAUAUGAAUUCCUCUCUUCCGAUAUAAUUAAUUGCUUUUUUCCAUUCUCAACACCUUCGACAACGGUUUAUUUCAUGGUAAGGGACGCCGACCUUGCUGCUGCUUUUGGUUGGCCUUGGGUGCCAUGGCGAAUUGGCG
This 423-nucleotide long non-coding RNA is filed under the name Cicer arietinum (chickpea). Its description in RNAcentral is "long non-coding RNA (CARI_LNC003553)". The record is from RNAcentral. Lineage: Eukaryota; Viridiplantae; Streptophyta; Magnoliopsida; Fabales; Fabaceae.